RNAcentral lists this long non-coding RNA (931 nucleotides) under Gallus gallus (chicken). RNAcentral's name for it is "lncRNA (ENSGALG00010000773.1)". Lineage: Eukaryota; Metazoa; Chordata; Aves; Galliformes; Phasianidae. The record is from RNAcentral.
AAAGGCCCGGCUCAGAAAGGCAAGGCCAACUAAGUCCAGGCCAGGCAAGAUCAGACAAGGCCAGGCCAGACAAGGCCAAGCCAGGCCAGACCAGACAAAACAAGGCUAGGCCAGGCCAGGGAAAGCUAGGCAAGUCCAGGCCAGGCAAGGCAAGGAUAGGCCAGGGAAGGCCAGGACAGGACAAGCUAGGCAAAGCAAGGCAAAGCACAUCAAGGACAGGCAUGACAAGGCAAGACACGGCAAGGCCAGGCAAGGCCGAGCCAGGCCAGACAACGCCAGGCAAGGCAAGGAUAGGCCAGGCAAGGCCAGGCUAGGCCAAGCCAGGCCUGGCCAGGCAAGGUUAGGCCAGGCAAUUCAAGGCCAGGUCAGGCCAAGCAAGGCAAGGCAAGGCAAUGCAUGGCCAGGCAAGGCAAGGCCACGAAAGGCAAGGCAAGGCCAGGCAUGGCCAGGCAAGGCAAGGCCACGGAAGGCAAGGCAAGGCAAGGCAUGGCCAGGCAAGGCAAGGCCACGGAAGGCAAGGCAAGGCAAGGCAUGGCCAGGCAAGGCAAGGCCACGGAAGGCAAGGCAAGGCAAGGCAUGGCCAGGCAAGGCAAGGGAAGGCCAGUCUGGCAAGGCAAAGCCAGGCAAGGCAAUGCAAGGCCAAGCCAGGCAAGGAAAAGGCCAGGAAAAGGAAAGGCCAGGCAAGGGCAUGCUUGCAGUGCAAGGACAGCAUCCCGUCUGGUGGAUGAGGGAAAGGCUGUUGAUGUGGUCUACCUAGACUUCAGCAAAGCCUUUGACACUGUCUCUCACAGUAUUCUCCUCCAGAAGCUGGCAGAUCGUGGCUUGGACAGAUACAUUCUUUGCUGGGUAAGGAACUGGCUGGAGGGCCGGGCCCAGAGACUGGUAGUGAACGGAGUUAAAUCCAGCUGGCGACCGGACACGAGUGGGGUUC